GCUUUGAUCAUGGGAAUGCUGUGUAAAUCAGCCACUGUGCCGCAACGGUAAUAGUCCGAGACCAUUCAAAGC
RNAcentral lists this non-coding RNA (72 nucleotides) under Candidatus Microgenomatota. The record is from RNAcentral.